AAACUUGAGAGUUUGAUCCUGGCUCAGAACGAACGCUGGCGGCAGGCCUAACACAUGCAAGUCGAACGAAGGNCCGGAGCUUGCUCCGGNNACCUUAGUGGCGGACGGGUGAGUAACACGUGGGAAUUUGCCCAGGAGUGAGGAAUAACGUUUGGAAACGAACGCUAAUACCGCAUACACCCUACGGGGGAAAGGCUUCGGCCGCUCUUGGAUAAGCCCGCGUCAGAUUAGCUUGUUGGUGAGGUAACGGCUCACCAAGGCGACGAUCUGUAGCUGGUCUGAGAGGAUGAUCAGCCACACUGGGACUGAGACACGGCCCAGACUCCUACGGGAGGCAGCAGUGGGAAAUAUUGGACAAUG
RNAcentral lists this ribosomal RNA (360 nucleotides) under Rhodospirillaceae bacterium. RNAcentral's name for it is "bacterial SSU rRNA". It matches the Rfam family "Bacterial small subunit ribosomal RNA", at positions 1 to 373 of the family's 1533-position model. The record is from RNAcentral. Lineage: Bacteria; Pseudomonadati; Pseudomonadota; Alphaproteobacteria; Rhodospirillales; Rhodospirillaceae.